AGUGAACGCUGGCGGCGUGCUUAACACAUGCAAGUCGAGCGAGAACGGGUUAUAGCUUGCUAUAAUUGUCAGCUAAGUGGCGCACGGGUGAGUAAUGUAUAGGUAAUAUGCCUCUUACUAAGGGAUAACAAAUGGAAACGUUUGCUAAUACCUUAUACUCCUUAUUAACAGAAGUUAAUAAGGGAAAGAUUUAUUGGUAAGAGAUUAGCCUGUAUUGUAUCAGUUAGUUGGUGGGGUAAUGGCUUACCAAGACUAUGACACAUAACUGGUUUGAGAGGAUGAUCAGUCACACUGGAACUGAGACACGGUCCAGACUCCUACGGGAGGCAGCAGUGGGGAAUAUUGCACAAUGGACGAAAGUCUGAUGCAGCAACGCCGCGUGGAGGAUGACACAUUUCGGUGCGUAAACUCCUUUUACAUGAGAAGAUAAUGACGGUAUUAUAUGAAUAAGCACCGGCUAACUCCGUGCCAGCCGCCGCAGUAA
RNAcentral lists this ribosomal RNA (484 nucleotides) under uncultured bacterium. RNAcentral's name for it is "partial 16S ribosomal RNA". It matches the Rfam family "Bacterial small subunit ribosomal RNA", at positions 29 to 523 of the family's 1533-position model. The record is from RNAcentral.